Molecule: ribosomal RNA, 469 nt
Filed under: uncultured bacterium
Lineage: Bacteria
Description: SSU rRNA
Rfam family: Bacterial small subunit ribosomal RNA
Source: RNAcentral
AGGACGAACGCUGGCGGCGUGCUUAACACAUGCAAGUCGAGCGAGGCCCUUCCUUCGGGAAGGAGCCCUAGCGGCGAACGGGUGAGUAACACGUGGGCAACCUGCCCCUAGCACUGGGAUAACUCCGGGAAACCGGGGCUAAUACCGGAUAUGACCUUUGAGGGCAUCCUCUUUGGUGUAAAGGAUUCUGGCUAGGGAUGGGCCCGCGGCCUAUCAGCUUGUUGGUGGGGUAAAGCCUACCAAGGCGACGACGGGUAGCCGGCCUGAGAGGGCGACCGGCCACACUGGGACUGAGACACGGCCCAGACUCCUACGGGAGGCAGCAGUGGGGAAUAUUGCACAAUGGGCGAAAGCCUGAUGCAGCGACGCCGCGUGAGGGAUGACUGCCUUCGGGUUGUAAACCUCUUUCAGCAGGGACGAAGCGAAAGUGACGGUACUGCAGAGAGCACGCAACUCGCGCAGCAGCCGC